UACGUAGGGUGCAAGCGUUAAUCGGAAUUACUGGGCGUAAAGCGUGCGCAGGCGGUUUUGUAAGCCAGAUGUGAAAUCCCCGGGCUUAACCUGGGAAUGGCAUUUGGGACUGCAAGGCUUGAGUGCGGCAGAGGAGACUAGAAUUCCUGGUGUAGCAGUGAAAUGCGUAGAUAUCAGGAGGAAUACCGAUGGCGAAGGCGGCUCACUGGUCCGGUACUGACGCUGAGGUGCGAAAGCGUGGGGAGCAAACAGG
RNAcentral lists this ribosomal RNA (253 nucleotides) under uncultured bacterium. Its description in RNAcentral is "partial 16S ribosomal RNA". It matches the Rfam family "Bacterial small subunit ribosomal RNA", at positions 524 to 776 of the family's 1533-position model. The record is from RNAcentral.